UUCCCAAUGCUGGAAGAUAGUCUUCUGUUUAUCCACAGGACAGUUACAGCAUGGGGCAGCAACAAUGCAGGCUUCCCCUUUCUGCCCCACCAGUAUGCUCCAAUCAUUUUUUGAAGGGACCAUUUCCAGAGAGUAAAAGAUUCAGAUCCCACGCUCAUUCAAUUUAUAUCCUCU
Molecule: unclassified non-coding RNA, 174 nt
Organism: Chelonoidis abingdonii (Abingdon island giant tortoise)
Lineage: Eukaryota; Metazoa; Chordata; Testudines; Testudinidae
Source: Ensembl